Long non-coding RNA from Helianthus annuus (common sunflower), 187 nucleotides. RefSeq lists it as uncharacterized. NCBI's taxonomy places the organism in Eukaryota, Viridiplantae, Streptophyta, Magnoliopsida, Asterales, Asteraceae. The record is from RefSeq and is a predicted model, not a curated record. The transcript is spliced from 2 exons.
AAACUGGUUUACGUUUUGCAUGAAAAACGACCCGGUUAUAACCAUCACAAGAAAGCAGGAGCCAUGAACGCCCUUAUUCGAGUGUCUGCAGUGCUUACAAAUGCACCAUUCAUGCUCAAUCUGGAUUGUGAUCACUAUGUCAACAACAGUAAAGCUGUAAGAGAAGCUAUGUGCUUCUUAAUGGACC